UGGGGAAUAUUGCACAAUGGGCGAAAGCCUGAUGCAGCGACGCCGCGUGAGGGAUGACGGCCUUCGGGUUGUAAACCUCUUUCAGUAGGGACGAAGCGCAAGUGACGGUACCUGCAGAAGAAGCACCGGCUAACUACGUGCCAGCAGCCGCGGUAAUACGUAGGGUGCGAGCGUUGUCCGGAAUUACUGGGCGUAAAGAGCUCGUAGGCGGUGUGUCACGUCGUCUGUGAAAUCCUAGGGCUUAACCCUGGACGUGCAGGCGAUACGGGCUGACUUGACUACUACAGGGGAGACUGGAAUUUCUGGUGUAGCGGUGGAAUGCACAGAUAUCAGGAAGAACACCGAUGGCGAAGGCAGGUCUCUGGGUAGUAACUGACGCUGGGGAGCGAAAGCAUGGGUAGCGAACAAG
This 409-nucleotide ribosomal RNA is filed under the name bacterium. Its description in RNAcentral is "partial 16S ribosomal RNA". It matches the Rfam family "Bacterial small subunit ribosomal RNA", at positions 355 to 776 of the family's 1533-position model. The record is from RNAcentral.